GUCUGCUACCUCAUGUUUGUGCCUUCCCGCAGGAGUAAAAAUUUGCCUUGUCAAGAACUCCUGUGCCUUGUCUGAGUGCAUUCUUUUGGACACAGAAAAUUUGAGUCUGGGGGCUUAUUUCCAACAGGAAUAUAUGUAAAGUGAGGUCUGUAACUUUCCACGGAGUCAUCUGGAGUGAGAAAGAAGUGGUGCACCGGAUUAAUACAUCACUAAGUGAGAAUUCAAUGACUCUUUUGUGAAAGUGGUGACCUGUACAUCAGGAACAUAAUGCAAUUGCAACUACAUAACCAGAACAGAGAGUGGACCUCUGCUGAAGACGUGCCCAGUCGUUUCCAUUGUUAAAAGAGAGUCUGGCUUGAAAUUGUUUUCAAUUUUUCAAAUAACAGGGAAAGAUUAACACUAAGGCAACUGCAUUUAAAAUGUAAAGUUGGGGAAUGGCUUAAAAUUUUAAAGCUACACUGUCAUUAAUUUUGCAAGAUGUCAGAGUUUAAAGGAAAAUACCAGUGAGAAGCCAUGGAACAGCCUCUGUAUAAUGAGGGAUGAAAGAAAAGGGGAAUGACAUUUAUUCCUCUCUGCCCUGUCACUUUGGCUUUACAUCAGUUGCUUAAGGGGUGGCACUGAAGCAUGUGACUGGUUUCAAAAGAGCCUUAAUAAUGAAAGAGAAAAGCGAUUCUUGCAUAUUAAAUGUACUGCAGAUUCAAUACACUGAAAAGGACAACAGGAAGAAGAAUAAUCAUAUUUUAUUGUGGGAAACAAACAAUUUUCACUUACUAUCCUAAAGUCAGCAUGGCAGAUGGCACGAGGCAGCAAGAUGGGCCUUGUGAACCCAGAGCUCUCUGAAUUCAGGGCAUAUUUCUACUGUGAAGGAAAGACAACAGCGGCGCUGACCAGCUGUGACUUCUCCAGACGGUCACGAAUGCCGCAGCCACAAGGAGGCUCAGGUCUCCUGGCCACUCUAGAGAACAAAGCAUUGACACUGAUCAGAAGAUCAUACUCAAAAUACACCAACCACAUGAAAUUAUUUGCAGUAUUUUGUAUAUAAAUUUGUGUUUUUACAAAAUACAAAAAAAUUUUUUUUAUGAAAUUUCCAAU
This 1092-nucleotide long non-coding RNA is filed under the name Heterocephalus glaber (naked mole-rat). RNAcentral describes it as "lncRNA (ENSHGLG00000033189.1)". The record is from RNAcentral. Lineage: Eukaryota; Metazoa; Chordata; Mammalia; Rodentia; Bathyergidae.